Molecule: ribosomal RNA, 253 nt
Filed under: uncultured bacterium
Lineage: Bacteria
Description: partial 16S ribosomal RNA
Rfam family: Bacterial small subunit ribosomal RNA
Source: RNAcentral
UACGGAGGGUGCAAGCGUUAUCCGGAUUCACUGGGUUUAAAGGGUGCGUAGGUGGCGCCAUAAGUCAGGUGUGAAAUCUCGGGGCUCAACCCCGAAACUGCACUUGAUACUGUGGUGCUCGAGUACUGGAGAGGAGAUUGGAAUUUACGGUGUAGCAGUGAAAUGCGUAGAUAUCGUAAGGAAGACCAGUGGCGAAGGCGAAUCUCUGGACAGUUACUGACACUGAGGCACGAAGGCCAGGGGAGCAAACGGG